This is a long non-coding RNA of Chiroxiphia lanceolata (lance-tailed manakin), 370 nucleotides long. RefSeq lists it as uncharacterized. NCBI's taxonomy places the organism in Eukaryota, Metazoa, Chordata, Aves, Passeriformes, Pipridae. The transcript has 3 exons. The record is from RefSeq and is a predicted model, not a curated record.
CCACACUGGGCUCAAGUGGGACAAGGCCUGGCCAGGCUGAAGUGGCACCAACUGGGAAAUGCCCUGCCAUGGCCCAUUCCCAGGGCCUUUCCUCCAGGCUUUGCCCUUGAUCCCUUGCCUUUCCCCCUGCACUGGUAUCCCCAACUUGCCUGGGAGCCGCAAUCCCACAGAGCCCCGCUCAGCCCGGGGGGCAGCCGGGGCUGGAGGGGGUGGGGACACCCGUGUGCCCCCCAGCCCCACAAGGCCAACCCCAACCAAGCCUUUGCUCUCCUCCUGCAGCCCGUUCAGGCCAGCGGUGUCCAAUGUGGGGAGGCAGGCGUGAUCGGCGGUCCGCCAAUCGCGGGACAAGGAGGAGGUGGAUGUGUCGGGG